AUCUAGAUGUGUGGAAAAAACCUGUUUGGGAAACGGUGAUUGUUAUUCAACGAUUAAAUUGAGCAUCACAGUACAAAAUGAAGAAAAGUUGUCGUUGUUCCUGAGGAAGUUUGAAAAAGGGUGGGUGUGUGGUGUUCAGAUCGGCCACUCGGGUGGAAGUUCAUCCGUCGGUGGUACGGUAGGACAAGAUGGUCACCGAUGAAGACAUCAAGGUCACAUGUCACAGUGCGGAAGGCAGUUGAAUGCAGAACUCACAGGCGAAUUGGGAUGUCCAGGAGACGAAGAGUUGACUGGGUCAGUCCAGUAGGAACGGGGCAGCUUGGUAACCAGGGCUCAAGCAGCAACGGAGUUUAUCCAGAAGUGUUCAGCACAGAGUCAGGUGAUUGUAGGAUCCUUGUAGGUAAUCCGUCCAAGUAAAAAGGUGGCAGACCAAGGAAAAAACCCUUCAAAAACAAGGCAAACUGAAGAGCACAACAAACACACCCCGACCGCAAUGAGGUACAAGCCACGAAUGGUUAGGGGAGAGGGGAGAACAUCUGGGGUAGGUUGGGGGAGGUUCACUUAUGCUUCUGUGAUCCGACAGGAAAUGGUAUUUCUCUUCUCCACAAGUUCCGAAGAGAACUCCAUUUCCUGUCUACUCACAGAUAACACAGACACGAUAUGUGGGGUAGGGUAGCGGCGUCACCAUCACG
Branchiostoma floridae (Florida lancelet) is the source of this 692-nucleotide long non-coding RNA. RefSeq lists it as uncharacterized. Lineage: Eukaryota; Metazoa; Chordata; Leptocardii; Amphioxiformes; Branchiostomatidae. The record is from RefSeq and is a predicted model, not a curated record. The transcript has 3 exons.